AGUGACACAUGUUCAACGGCCGCGGUACCCUGACCGUGCAAAGGUAGCAUAAUCACUUGUUCUCCAAAUAAGGACUUGUAUGAAUGGCCACACGAGGGGUUAACUGUCUCUUACUUUCAAUCAGUGAAAUUGACCUGUCCGUGAAGAGGCGGACAUAACCUAAUAAGACGAGAAGACCCUAUGGAGCUUCAAUUUAAUAAUACAAGCUAAAACCUUCCAAACCAACAGGCACUAACUAAUCGUAAAUGUAUUGUAAAUUUUGGUUGGGGUGACCUCGGAGUAUAAAACAACCUCCGAAAACAUGUACCAAGACCUCACUAGUCUAAGUAAAACACACCUUACUGACCCAAUAACUUGAUCAACGGACUAAGUUACCCUAGGGAUAACAGCGCAAUCCUAUUUUAGAGUCCAUAUCGACAAUAGGGUUUACGACCUCGAUGUUGGAUCAAGACAUCCUAAUGGUGCAGACGCUAUUAAGGGUUCGUUUG
RNAcentral lists this ribosomal RNA (488 nucleotides) under Callimico goeldii (Goeldi's marmoset). RNAcentral's name for it is "partial 16S ribosomal RNA". It matches the Rfam family "Bacterial large subunit ribosomal RNA", at positions 1911 to 2579 of the family's 2925-position model. Lineage: Eukaryota; Metazoa; Chordata; Mammalia; Primates; Cebidae. The record is from RNAcentral.